This is a long non-coding RNA of Cheilinus undulatus (humphead wrasse), 603 nucleotides long. RefSeq lists it as uncharacterized. The transcript is spliced from 3 exons. Lineage: Eukaryota; Metazoa; Chordata; Actinopteri; Labriformes; Labridae. The record is from RefSeq and is a predicted model, not a curated record.
GUGAGCUGUGCAGCCUCUCAAAAGUAGGUCAACUCCUCCCCCUCCAGAUUGGCAGAGCCUACUUAAGCCACCUGUGGCAGGUUAGCUGCCUCUUUCUCCUUUGUCUUUGCCUGGUGGCUGCCACAUGGUCAGACCUGAGUUUCCUUCCUGGUUGUGCACUUUUACCUGGUCAUCUUGGUGUCCACUGAAUCAAGUGGUGUUAAGCAGGAUCAGCGGACAGCUGGGUAAAUGUAGCUACCUGGGCAGGUAUGAGAAGCUGCAUAUUGUCAACAGGAAGUGUCUGAAAUUACAUCUUUUGACAGUGUAAUGAUUUUGGUUUUUUAUUUCAGACACGAUCAGCUGCUGUUUUGUCUUGUUUUGUCCACUGUUUAGCCCACUGUUUAGCCUUUAGUUUUGCUGUAGUUUGCUUGUUCUGUUUUGGCAGCAUUUUAUCAAAUUGUCAUUAAAAUAGGCCUUUUUAGCUGGACCAACUGGUUUUAUAUAGGUUUUAACUAUUUCUUUUGUGUAACUUUUUCUUUCUUGUCCCUUACAGUGCAGUGGUUGCUGGCUAGCGGUGGAGGCUAGGCACUCUGGGUGGUUCCCUGCACCCUUUUGUUGUAGUGA